GUGCCAGCCGCCGCGGUAAUACGGAGGGGGCAAGCGUUGUUCGGAUUUAUUGGGUUUAAAGAGCACGUAGGUGGGUUUGUAAGUCAGAUGUGAAAGCCUUCUGUUCAACGGAAGAAUUGCAUCUGAAACUGCGAGUCUUGAGUGUAGGAGGGGAGAAUGGAACUUCUGGUGGAGCGGUGAAAUGCGUAGAUAUCAGAAGGAACGCCGGCGGCGAAAGCGAUUCUCUGGCCUAUUACUGACACUCAGUGUGCGAAAGCUAGGGGAGCAAACGGGAUUAGAUACCCCGGUAGUCCUAGCUGUAAACGAUGGGCACUAAGUAGAGGGAAUUACCGAUGUUCUCUCUGCCGUAGCUAACGCAUUAAGUGCCCCGCCUGGGGAGUACGGCCGCAAGGCUAAAACUCAAAUAAAUUGGCGGG
RNAcentral lists this ribosomal RNA (416 nucleotides) under uncultured Planctomycetota bacterium. RNAcentral's name for it is "bacterial SSU rRNA". It matches the Rfam family "Bacterial small subunit ribosomal RNA", at positions 505 to 917 of the family's 1533-position model. The record is from RNAcentral. Lineage: Bacteria; Pseudomonadati; Planctomycetota.